AAGGGCGGCUGUUUUGCAUUGGAUUGAGACAACGUACAACCUUAUCGAUAACAAUUGGAGGGCAAGUCUGGUGCCAGCAGCCGCGGUAAUUCCAGCUCCAAUAGCGUAUAUAACGUUGUUGCAGUUAAAAAGCUCGUAGUUGAAAUGAAGGGUAGUUGUGUAAUGAAUACAUUCGUGUAUUUUGUUAUUCUACUACCCUCCUUCUAAAUUCGAUAUAUGAGUAUUAAUUUACUUGUAUAUGGUUUUAGACUUUUACUGUGAGAAAAUUAGAGUGUUCAAAGCAGGCAUUUGCUUGAAUAUAUUAGCAUGGAAUAAUCAUGUAUGAUUUUCAUGAUGUAUUUGAUUGGUUUGGUUCAUGAGAAUAAGAUUAAAAGGGACAGUUGGGGGUAUUCAUAUUCAAUAGUCAGAGGUGAAAUUCUCGGAUUUAUGGAAGAUGAACAAGUGCGAAAGCAUUUACCAAGGAUGUUUUCAUUAAUCAAGAACGAAAGUUAGGGGAUCGAAGAGGAUUAGAUACCUCGUAAUUUAUAAA
This 529-nucleotide ribosomal RNA is filed under the name Blastocystis sp. subtype 3. RNAcentral's name for it is "bacterial SSU rRNA". It matches the Rfam family "Eukaryotic small subunit ribosomal RNA", at positions 488 to 1036 of the family's 1831-position model. Lineage: Eukaryota; Bigyra; Opalinata; Blastocystidae. The record is from RNAcentral.